This 475-nucleotide ribosomal RNA is filed under the name Flavobacterium sp. 01WB02.4-40. RNAcentral describes it as "bacterial SSU rRNA". It matches the Rfam family "Bacterial small subunit ribosomal RNA", at positions 1 to 484 of the family's 1533-position model. Lineage: Bacteria; Pseudomonadati; Bacteroidota; Flavobacteriia; Flavobacteriales; Flavobacteriaceae. The record is from RNAcentral.
UGAGCUUGAUCCUGGCUCAGGAUGAACGCUAGCGGCAGGCUUAACACAUGCAAGUCGAGGGGUAGAGCACUUCGGUGCUUGAGACCGGCGCACGGGUGCGUAACGCGUAUGCAAUCUGCCUUUCACAGAGGGAUAGCCCAGAGAAAUUUGGAUUAAUACCUCAUAGUAUUACGACUCGGCAUCGAGAUGUAAUUAAAGUCACAACGGUGAAAGAUGAGCAUGCGUCCCAUUAGCUAGUUGGUAAGGUAACGGCUUACCAAGGCAACGAUGGGUAGGGGUCCUGAGAGGGAGAUCCCCCACACUGGUACUGAGACACGGACCAGACUCCUACGGGAGGCAGCAGUGAGGAAUAUUGGACAAUGGGCGCAAGCCUGAUCCAGCCAUGCCGCGUGCAGGAUGACGGUCCUAUGGAUUGUAAACUGCUUUUGUACGAGAAGAAACACUCCUAUGUAUAGGAGCUUGACGGUAUCGUAGA